ACUUUUGAUCCGAGUAUUUAUGGCAGGAAUAAUCUUUGAUCAUAAAUGACAAUUAAGCUCAAGCUUAAUUGAAAUAUUGUCAAACUGAGCUUGAGCCGAGUUUGAUUGAACUAUUAAUUGAACUCAAGCAUGGCUUGGUGCCAGUCCUACUCUAUAUAUAAAGUAUUUGCCUGAGGCAUUGUGAUAUUAAGGGGAAAUAGUUCUCUCCGCAUUUGGUCAUUAAUGCAUUUUCCUCGCAUUACCUUAAUCAUAAUAUUAAUUGUUCUUCCAGAGUAUCGGGAGCCUGUGAAAAUAUAAAUAUUUUUUGUAGCUGUGGUGAUUCAGAGUCUCAGUCAUGCCUAUACGAGGAAUCUCUUCCUGGCUUGAAAAGUGUCCCUGGUUUGAAAAGAAAGCUGCCAGCUCUUGAAGAUGAUGAGAUGGAGUUUUCUGAAACCAUUAAUUCCCCACUGAAUUCAAAAAGAAGUAGGGUGCUUAUUCACAAAGCAGGUAACUGCGGAGAGAAUCCACCUGAUAACCUUGCUGAAGAUUGCAUGGAAAUCGUUAAGAAUGGUAGUCCCUUGUGCUCUUCCAAAUCCCCAUGUGCAGUUGAAGGCUGUCUGUCCAAGGGCUUUGCUGGAUUAUUCUUUACCCGCUCCUAUUUGCAAUUUGGCUGAGAAAGAAGAGUUCCUUGUACCUAAAGCUCCCACCGGAGUUGCAAAUAUAGAAA
Molecule: non-coding RNA, 706 nt
Organism: Carica papaya (papaya)
Lineage: Eukaryota; Viridiplantae; Streptophyta; Magnoliopsida; Brassicales; Caricaceae
Source: RefSeq, a predicted model, not a curated record